CUCAAAAUUCUACCUGUUACCAUCAUAAAUGUCGAAACCUAUGCACUCUCAAAGGACCUUAACAAUCAAGUCAAGUCAAGUCACAAUACAGUCAGAAGAAAGUAGUGCGGAAUUUCAAGUAAGACAUGCAAAAACAAUGAAAGGCUUAUCAAUACCUAAACAAACUGUGGAAACAGGGGGGAUUAUCAUGAAAUAUCCUUGUAUAAAUAAGAAAAUUGCACCAAUGAUCAAUACCAAACCUAGAAUCAUAAGUGGUCAAGACAAUUGGCCGUUAUUGGUUAACAUAAAAAUUAUUACUGGUUCAGCAACCAAAUACAAUUUAAAAAAAUGAAUUUGCUUGUUAUACUCAUGGAAAAUGAAGAGAUGGAAUAUUGGAAUAUUGACAUUUCUGGAACAGAUAAAAUUGAGAAAUCCAUGUCAAAAGAGGACAAGUGGGUACAAACCAUUGAGAAGACUAUAAGGAAUAUUGGAGACAGAUGGGAAAUUGGACUCUUGUAGAUGUGUGAAGAAAUGAGAAUUUAGUUCUCCCAGAAAGCAGAAAUAAUGCGUUGAAUAGGUAGGUUAGCAUGUAUGAAAAGGAAAAUAAACAAAAGUCUCGAGUAUGGUAUCAAAUUCAAUCUUCAAAGAUUUGAUAUCUUUCACAUUUUGGUAUUAUUAACCCAAAUAAACCGAAUAAAUUCAGAAUUGUAUUCGAUGCUUCUUCAAAAUCAAAUGGCAAAUGAUUGCUUAAUGACAGGUUCCGAUUUAUAUACAUCGUUUCAUACAAUUUUGAUGAAUUUAAGGAUUGAGAGACAGACUUUCACCAGUAAUAUUGAGGAAAUGUUUUUACAAGUGAAAGUUCGCCACGAAGAUUGUCCAGCUCGAAGGUUUAUAUGGCGUGGACUUGACAGAAAUAGAGAACCCGAAGAAUAUGAAAUCAAAUUAGUUUUCUUUGGAUUAUCAAAUGGCCCAUGCCUAACGCAGGAAGCAAAGAAACGAAAUACUCCAGAAUUAUCAAGAAAUUUCUAGCAGCGACGGAAGAAAUUAUUGAACAUCACUAUAUAGAUAAUUAAUUAGGUAAUGCAGAUUCCAUUGUGGAGGGCAUGAAACUCAUUGAUGAUACAAUUAUACACACAUCAAAAGUCUUGGACCCCCAUUAAUCUACUAUCUGUUAAACAAACAGGACCAAUGAUAUUAAUGGAUAACAUAUUACUGAUUUUUUACAAUUUUUUUGUAAUAUUGGCACCGAAUAUUUAGCACUGUAAAUUGACACUUUUCUUCCAAAAUAUUACUAGUGCGUGAAAUUCCUGCUUUGAAAAGAAUCCCAGCUCCAGCCCUUAGGAAUCAACGUACGUAGAAUUCAACGUACAUUUCGCCGUGUUAUAUUUACAUCUACAGUUAGAAGAAGACUGAAUUGGGCACAUCUUCGAGCAAGAAGGCCUUUAGGGGCAUCCACUCUAUUUCCACAACACAGAGCUAUCCGCUUACAAUGGGCACGAAAGCACAACGAAUGGCUUUUGAGACAGUGGGGAUGUGUGAUGGUUCCUAUUUACAGGUGAAAUCAGAAUUGGGCUGCGUAAAGGGGCGAUAAUGGCUAUGAAUUUUUGAGUGAAACAAAUUCUAGAAUAACUGGUUCAGUCCUAAAUGUAUCUAUUCCUUCAAAUUGUAUAAUAAAUCGUUGGGCGGAGUUGAAAUGAAAGAAAUUUUGCUAAUAAAUGAGCGGCUCAUGGAAUAAAUAAAUUGCUAACUAUCACGUUGUAUUUUAUUAGGAGAAAAAUUUGAUCAAAUCUUAUCACAACGAUAAAAAUUGAGAUUUGAAUCAACGUCAGUUUUGAGUUUGUCAAGUUCUAAGGAGUAUUUUUAACAGAAUUUAAAUUGAAUGGUAUUGAUUGCAUUAUCAAUAGCUUGGGCUGACAGACUCAAAAGAAACACUACUUAAUUGAUAAUGAUAACAUCAUUAUUUGUACAAUACUUCAAAGCGAAUGUAAACUGAUUAAGAGUAAAAUAUAAAACCGUUUCCAAUAAAAUAGAUAUAAUUAUUACAUUGUAAAAUAAAUUCCAUCAAAAUCUGA
This is a long non-coding RNA of Leptinotarsa decemlineata (Colorado potato beetle), 2051 nucleotides long. RefSeq lists it as uncharacterized. Lineage: Eukaryota; Metazoa; Arthropoda; Insecta; Coleoptera; Chrysomelidae. The record is from RefSeq and is a predicted model, not a curated record.